Long non-coding RNA from Poecile atricapillus (Black-capped chickadee), 151 nucleotides. RefSeq lists it as uncharacterized. Lineage: Eukaryota; Metazoa; Chordata; Aves; Passeriformes; Paridae. The transcript has 2 exons. The record is from RefSeq and is a predicted model, not a curated record.
AAACAAUCCAGGACAGAACUUGAUUAAGAAGCUGAAUUUGAAUAUUCAAGAAGCUGACCAGAUGAAUUUUGUGGCACUCAUGGUGGGGCACAGGAACACUGAUGCUGCAGAGCAAAACUGGACAAUGUUGGGAUGACCUGAAAGUUUUUUC